GAUGAAGAACGUAGCGAAAUGCGAUAAGUAAUGUGAAUUGCAGAGUUCAGUGAAUCAUCGAAUCUUUGAACGCACAUUGCGCCCCCUGGUAUUCCGGGGGGCAUGCCUGUCCGAGCGUCAUUGCUGCCCUCAAGCACGGCUUGUGUGUUGGGCCGCCGUCCCCGGUUUCCCCCGGGGACGGGCCCGAAAGGCAGCGGCGGCACCGCGUCCGAUCCUCGAGCGUAUGGGGCUUUGUCACCCGCUCUGUAGGCCCGGCCGGCGCCAGCCGACACCCAACUUUAUUUUUAAGGUUGACCUCGGAUCAGGUAGGGAUACCCGCUGAACUUAAGCAUAUCAAUAAGCGGAGGA
Molecule: unclassified non-coding RNA, 348 nt
Filed under: soil metagenome
Description: partial contains 5.8S ribosomal RNA, internal transcribed spacer 2, and large subunit ribosomal RNA
Rfam family: 5.8S ribosomal RNA (bases 1-120)
Source: RNAcentral